AACGCACCUUGCGCCCUUUGGCUAUUCCGAAGGGCAUGCCUGUUUGAGUAUCAUGAACACCUCAACUCUCAUGGUUUGCCAUGAUGAGCUUGGACUUUGGGGGUCUUGCCGGCCUAUGGGUCGGCUCCUCUCAAAUUAAUCAGCUUGCCAGUGUUUGGUGGCAUCACAGGUGUGAUAACUAUCUACGCUUGUGGUUUUCCAUCAGGUAACCUUCAGUGAUGGAGGUUCGCUGGGGCUCAUAAAUGUCUCUCCUCAGUGAGGACAGCUUUUUUGAACGUUUGAUCUCAAAUCAGGUAGGACUACCCGCUGAACUUAA
Molecule: unclassified non-coding RNA, 316 nt
Filed under: uncultured Thelephoraceae
Lineage: Eukaryota; Fungi; Basidiomycota; Agaricomycetes; Thelephorales; Thelephoraceae
Description: sequence contains ITS2
Source: RNAcentral